This 23-nucleotide small RNA is filed under the name Arabidopsis thaliana (thale cress). RNAcentral describes it as "ATSL254170". Lineage: Eukaryota; Viridiplantae; Streptophyta; Magnoliopsida; Brassicales; Brassicaceae. The record is from RNAcentral.
UGUUUAAUGUUAUUGUGUUCACA